GCGCUGACUUCAGCAGCACAGACACUAAAAUAAGAAUGACACAGGGAAGAUUAGCAUGGCUCCUGCCCAAGGGUUCUGUCUUAAAAAAACAAACAAAAACAUCUUAU
Molecule: small nuclear RNA, 107 nt
Organism: Arvicola amphibius (Eurasian water vole)
Lineage: Eukaryota; Metazoa; Chordata; Mammalia; Rodentia; Cricetidae
Source: RefSeq, a predicted model, not a curated record